This 218-nucleotide ribosomal RNA is filed under the name uncultured bacterium. Its description in RNAcentral is "partial 16S ribosomal RNA". It matches the Rfam family "Bacterial small subunit ribosomal RNA", at positions 328 to 539 of the family's 1533-position model. The record is from RNAcentral.
ACGCUCGACACCUACGGGGGGCAGCAGUGAGGAAUAUUGGUCAAUGGGCGCUAGCCUGAACCAGCCAAGUAGCGUGAAGGAUGAAGGCUCUAUGGGUCGUAAACUUCUUUUAUAUAAGAAUAAAGUGCAGUAUGUAUACUGUUUUGUAUGUAUUAUAUGAAUAAGGAUCGGCUAACUCCGUGCAAGCAGCCGCGGUAAUCUGAGCGGGCUGGCAAGGC